GUAGGGAAUAUUGGGUAAUGGACGGAAGUCUGACCCAGCCAUGCCGCGUGCAGGAAGAAGGCGUUAUGCGUUGUAAACUGCUUUUUUAUAGGAAGAAGGAGACCUUGCGAGGUUUGGUGACGGUACUAUAAGAAUAAGCACCGGCUAACUCCGUGCCAGCAGCCGCGGUAAUACGGAGGGUGCGAGCGUUGUCCGGAUUUAUUGGGUUUAAAGGGUGCGUAGGCGGUUUAUUAAGUCAGUGGUGAAAGACGGUCGCUCAACGAUUGCAGUGCCAUUGAUACUGGUAGACUUGAGUUCGUAUGAGGUAGGUGGAAUGGAUAGUGUAGCGGUGAAAUGCAUAGAUAUUAUCCAGAACUCCAAUUGCGUAGGCAGGUUACUAAUACGAUACUGACGCUGAUGCACGAAAGUGUGGGGAUCAAACAGGAUUAGAAACCCGAGUAGUCC
RNAcentral lists this ribosomal RNA (444 nucleotides) under uncultured bacterium. RNAcentral describes it as "partial 16S ribosomal RNA". It matches the Rfam family "Bacterial small subunit ribosomal RNA", at positions 354 to 796 of the family's 1533-position model. The record is from RNAcentral.